GGUGGGGUUCCCGAGCGGCCAAAGGGAGCAGACUGUAAAUCUGCCGUCAUCGACUUCGAAGGUUCGAAUCCUUCCCC
Molecule: transfer RNA, 77 nt
Filed under: Citrobacter freundii
Lineage: Bacteria; Pseudomonadati; Pseudomonadota; Gammaproteobacteria; Enterobacterales; Enterobacteriaceae
Also listed under: 3 other names
Description: tRNA-Tyr
Rfam family: tRNA
About the family: Transfer RNA (tRNA) molecules are approximately 80 nucleotides in length. Their secondary structure includes four short double-helical elements and three loops (D, anti-codon, and T loops).
Source: RNAcentral